UACGGAGGGUGCAAGCGUUAUCCGGAUUCACUGGGUUUAAAGGGUGCGUAGGUGGGCAGGUAAGUCAGUGGUGAAAUCUCCGGGCUUAACCCGGAAACUGCCAUUGAUACUAUCUGUCUUGAAUACCGUGGAGGUGAGCGGAAUAUGUCAUGUAGCGGUGAAAUGCUUAGAUAUGACAUAGAACACCAAUUGCGAAGGCAGCUCACUAGACGAAUAUUGGCACUGAGGCACGAAAGCGUGGGGAUCAAACAGG
This 253-nucleotide ribosomal RNA is filed under the name uncultured bacterium. RNAcentral describes it as "partial 16S ribosomal RNA". It matches the Rfam family "Bacterial small subunit ribosomal RNA", at positions 524 to 776 of the family's 1533-position model. The record is from RNAcentral.